GGGCGUGUAACUCAGUGGUAGAGUGCCUGCUUCGCAUCUAGUAUGCGUAUGCGGGAAGUCUUGGGUUCAAACCCCAACUCGUCCA
This is a non-coding RNA of Delitschia confertaspora ATCC 74209, 85 nucleotides long. NCBI's taxonomy places the organism in Eukaryota, Fungi, Ascomycota, Dothideomycetes, Pleosporales, Delitschiaceae. The record is from the annotation of a GenBank genome assembly.